AGAAGCUACUAAGGGCAUACGGUGGAUGCCUUGGCACAGAUAGGCGAAGAAGGACGUGGUAAGCUGCGAUAAGCUGCGGGGAGACGCAAACGAUUUUUGAUCCGCAGAUUUCCGAAUGGGGCAACCCGGCCAGAUUAACCUCUGGUCACUCUUUUACUGAACACAUAGGUAUAAGAGAGCUAACCCGGGGAACUGAAACAUCUAAGUACCCGGAGGAAAAGAAAGAGAAUUCGAUUCCCCGAGUAGCGGCGAGCGAAAAGGGAAGAGUCCAAACCGAGCUAUGUGUUAAUGCGGCGCGCGCUUAGCAUAGUCGGUGUUGCGGGAGACAAUCUGAGGGACGCGUAAUUCCUCGAAUCAGAGAGCCGUAUAGCAGAAUGGGGAAGGAAAGCCCCUCCCGUAGAGGGUGAAAGGCCCGUACGCGAAAUACGACUUGCGAUUUGGAAUGUUUUCCCAAGUAGGGCCGGACACGAGAAAUCCGGUUUGAAUCCGGGCAGACCACUGCCUAAGACUAAAUACUCAUCUGUGACCGAUAGUGAACUAGUACCGUGAGGGAAAGGUGAAAAGCACCCCUGGAGGGGAGUGAAAUAGUACCUGAAACCGUUUGCCUACAAGCUGUCGGAGCCCCUUGAGGGGUGACGGCGUGCCUUUUGCAUAAUGAGCCGGGGAGUUACUCGUACGUAGCAAGGUUAAGUCUUUAGAAGACGGAGCCGGAGGGAAACCGAGUCUGAAUAGGGCGUCAAGUUGCGUGCGGUAGACCCGAAGCCAGGUGAUCUACCCAUGGUCAGGUUGAAGCUUGGGUAAAACCAAGUGGAGGACCGAACCCACUAACAAUGAAAAGUUAGGGGAUGAACUGUGGGUAGGGGUGAAAGGCCAAUCAAACCUGGAGAUAGCUGGUUCUCUCCGAAAUAGCUUUAGGGCUAGCGUUGUGAGUGUAGUGUGCCGGAGGUAGAGCACUGAAAGGGUAAGGGGGCCUACCAGCUUACCAACCCCUAUCAAACUCCGAAUUCCGGACACAUGUUUCACAGCAGUCAGGCAGUGGGGGAUAAGCUUCAUUGCCGAGAGGGAAACAACCCAGACCUACAGCUAAGGCCCCUAAGAGUAUACUGAGUGUAUCUAAGGAAGUGGAAGCGCUCAGACAACUGGGAUGUUGGCUUAGAAGCAGCCAUUCAUUUAAAGAGUGCGUAACAGCUCACCAGUCAAGCGAUUCUGCGCCGAUAAUAAUCGGGCUAAGUAUACCGCCGAAGCUUAGGAUUGUACUUUGUACAAUGGUAGGAGAGCGUUCCAUUUGCGUCGAAGGUGAGCUGUAAGGCUUGCUGGAGCGUAUGGAAGAGAUCAUCCCGGCAUCAGUAGCGACAAUGAGGGUGAGAAACCUUCACACCGAAAGACUAAGGUUUCCUGGGCAAGGCUGAUCCACCCAGGGUAAGUCGGAUCCUAAGGCGAGGCCGAAGGGCGUAGUCGAUGGACAACAGGUUAAUAUUCCUGUACCGCCGGUACAGUGUUUGAGCGAUGGAGUGACGCAGAAGGUAAGACCAUCCGGGUGAUGGAAGUCCCGGUUCAAGCGUGUAGGAAGAGAGGGCAGGCAAAUCCGUUCUCUCAUUUUCUGAGGCGUUAUGACGAGGCUCUUAGAGCCGCAAAGUGGUUGGGUCCAUGCUGCCGAGAAAACCUUCUAAGCGAAUUGUACAGGCGUCCGUACCGCAAACCGACACAGGUAGUCGAGGAGAGUAUCCUAAGGUGUUCGAGAUAACCAUGGUUAAGGAACUAGGCAAAAUCGUCCCGUAACUUCGGGAGAAGGGACGCCACAGAUUGUGAAGAGACUUGCUCUCGGAGCAUGACGUGGCCGCAGAAAAACGGCUCGGGCGACUGUUUACUAAAAACACAGGUCUCUGCUAAGUCGCAAGACGACGUAUAGGGACUGACACCUGCCCGGUGCUGGAGCGUUAAGGGGAAGGGUUAGCCUUCAUUUAUGUUGGCGAAGCUUUGAACUGAAGCCCCAGUAAACGGCGGCCGUAACUAUAACGGUCCUAAGGUAGCGAAAUUCCUCGUCGGGUAAAUUCCGACCCGCACGAAUGGUGCAACGACUUGGGCACUGUCUCAACCAUGGACUCGGCGAAGUUGCAGUAGCGGUGAAGAUACCGUUUACCCGCAGAAGGACAGAAAGACCCCGUGAACCUUUACUACAAUUUGAUAUUGGGUUUCGUCAUGUGGUGUGUAGGAUAGGCGGGAGACUAUGAAGCCGGGACGCCAGUACCGGUGGAGUCAACCUUGAAAUACCGCCCUCUAUAUGUUGGAAUUCUAACGGAGAUCCGUUAUCCGGAUCCCGGACAUUGUCAGGUGGGUAGUUUGACUGGGGUGGUCGCCUCCCAAAAUGUAACGGAGGCGCCCUAAGGUUCCCUCAGCGCGGUCGGCAAUCGCGCGUCGAGUGUAAACGCACAAGGGAGCUUGACUGCGAGACAGACAAGUCGAGCAGGUACGAAAGUAGGGGUUAGUGAUCCUGCGGCACUGAGUGGAAAGGCCGUGGCUCAUCGGAUAAAAGGUACUCCGGGGAUAACAGGCUUAUCGCCACCGAGAGUUCGUAUCGACGUGGCGGGUUGGCACCUCGAUGUCGGCUCAGCGCAUCCUGGGGCUGGACCAGGUCCCAAGGGUUGGGCUGUUCGCCCAUUAAAGCGCUACGCGAGCUGGGUUUAGAACGUCGCGAGACAGUUCGGUCCCUAUCCUCUGCGGGCGUAGGAAGUUUGAGAGGUUCUGUCUUUAGUACGAGAGGACCGAGAUGGACAAACCUCUAGUGUACCAGUUGUCACGCCAGUGGCAUCGCUGGGUAGCUAUGUUUGGAACAGGAUAAGCGCUGAAAGCAUCUAAGUGCGAAACCUGCCUCAAGAUAAGACUUCCCGAUCGAAAGAUCCUCAAGGCCACUUGGAGACUACAAGUUUGAUAGGCUGCAGGUGUAAGCAUGGCAACAUGUUCAGCCGAGCAGUACUAAUCGGCCGUGAGGCUUCAUCAC
Molecule: ribosomal RNA, 2998 nt
Filed under: bioreactor metagenome
Description: bacterial LSU rRNA
Rfam family: Bacterial large subunit ribosomal RNA
Source: RNAcentral